Molecule: ribosomal RNA, 253 nt
Filed under: uncultured bacterium
Lineage: Bacteria
Description: partial 16S ribosomal RNA
Rfam family: Bacterial small subunit ribosomal RNA
Source: RNAcentral
UACGAAGGGUGCAAACGUUGCUCGGAAUCAUUGGGCGUAAAGCGCACGUAGGCGGCCUCGCAAGUCGGACGUGAAAUCCCUCAGCUCAACUGAGGACGUGCAUCCGAAACUGCAAGGCUUGAGUACUGAAGAGGAUCGCGGAAUUCCCGGUGUAGAGGUGAAAUUCGUAGAUAUCGGGAGGAACACCAGUGGCGAAGGCGGCGAUCUGGGCAGAUACUGACGCUGAGGUGCGAAAGCGUGGGGAGCAAACAGG